RNAcentral lists this long non-coding RNA (526 nucleotides) under Panax ginseng (ginseng). RNAcentral's name for it is "long non-coding RNA (PGIN_LNC002279)". Lineage: Eukaryota; Viridiplantae; Streptophyta; Magnoliopsida; Apiales; Araliaceae. The record is from RNAcentral.
CUUUUGGUAUGUUGUAGUACUCUGAUUUAGCUUUCCAUAGACUCCGGAACGGACUAAUUCCGAUUCCGGAUGAGGUAGUUAUGGCAUUCGGGAGAUGUGUAUCAAAACUGUUAAUCAAAUUCCGAACAGCCACAUUUGUGUAAAUUUCUGGACUGAUGUGUAAUGAUUUUGGAAAAAUGUCGUGAGACAAAAGUUGUAGCCCUUGAAGUUAUCUUCGCGUGGGCUCAAGAAUCGCUCAAAAAUGUUUUAAAACGCGAGAGUUAUGGCUGUUUUAGUGAGGCUGGGUAAAAUAUUUAGAAAAUCAAAAGUGUCCAAAAAUAGGAAAAAUGCGAUGUAUGAAGUGAGACCCGUGAGCAUGGUUUAUGCAAGUUUGUAAUGAAGCUUUGGGCCGGGUUUAAAGUGUUGUAAUGUUUAUAGCAUUUUAGAAUGCUUAAGCAAGUUAUUUAUUAAAGAGGAAAACAAUUGAAAUAAUUGUUUAUUUAUGUGAUUAAUGACUUAAGUUAUUUUUAUAUGACUAAUAAUAUUG